Molecule: ribosomal RNA, 119 nt
Filed under: Maylandia zebra (zebra mbuna)
Lineage: Eukaryota; Metazoa; Chordata; Actinopteri; Cichliformes; Cichlidae
Source: RNAcentral
GCUUACGGCCAUACCACCCUGAGCACGCCCGACGUCGUCUGAUCUCGGAAGCUAAGCAGGGCUGGGCUUGGUUAGUACUUGGAUGGGAGACUGCCUUGGAAUACCUGGUGCUGUAAGCC